UCCUACGGGGGGCUGCAGUGGGGAAUAUUGGACAAUGGGCGCAAGCCUGAUCCAGCCAUGCCGCGUGAGUGAUGAAGGCCUUAGGGUUGUAAAGCUCUUUUGUCCGGGAAGAUAAUGACUGUACCGGAAGAAUAAGCCCCGGCUAACUUCGUGCCAGCAGCCGCGGUAAUACGAAGGGGGCUAGCGUUGUUCGGAAUCACUGGGCGUAAAGCGCACGUAGGCGGACCAUUAAGUCAGGGGUGAAAGCCUGGAGCUCAACUCCAGAACUGCCUUUGAUACUGAUGGUCUCGAGUUCGGAAGAGGUUGGUGGAACUGCGAGUGUAGAGGUGAAAUUCGUAGAUAUUCGCAAGAACACCAGUGGCGAAGGCGGCCAACUGGUCCGAUACUGACGCUGAGGUGCGAAAGCGUGGGGAGCAAACAGGAUUAGAUACCCGAGUAGUCCA
RNAcentral lists this ribosomal RNA (443 nucleotides) under uncultured Hyphomicrobiales bacterium. Its description in RNAcentral is "bacterial SSU rRNA". It matches the Rfam family "Bacterial small subunit ribosomal RNA", at positions 337 to 797 of the family's 1533-position model. Lineage: Bacteria; Pseudomonadati; Pseudomonadota; Alphaproteobacteria; Hyphomicrobiales. The record is from RNAcentral.